Molecule: unclassified non-coding RNA, 117 nt
Organism: Pongo abelii (Sumatran orangutan)
Lineage: Eukaryota; Metazoa; Chordata; Mammalia; Primates; Hominidae
Rfam family: Metazoan signal recognition particle RNA
About the family: The signal recognition particle (SRP) is a universally conserved ribonucleoprotein.
Source: Ensembl
GCCAGGUGCGGUGGCUCACGCCUGUAAUCCCAGCACUUUGGGAGGCCGAGAUGGGUGGAUCACCUGAGGUCAGGAGUUCAAGAUCAGCCUGGCCAACAUGGUGAAACCCCAUCUCUA